Molecule: ribosomal RNA, 245 nt
Filed under: uncultured bacterium
Lineage: Bacteria
Also listed under: 1 other name
Description: partial 16S ribosomal RNA
Rfam family: Bacterial small subunit ribosomal RNA
Source: RNAcentral
CACGCCCUAAACGAUGUCAACUAGUUGUCGGGUCGUCAGACUCGGUAACGCAGCUAACGCGUGAAGUUGACCGCCUGGGGAGUACGGUCGCAAGAUUAAAACUCAAAGGAAUUGACGGGGACCCGCACAAGCGGUGGAUGAUGUGGAUUAAUUCGAUGCAACGCGAAAAACCUUACCUACCCUUGACAUGUCUGAAAGUUUCCAGAGAUGGAUUCGUGCUCGAAAGAGAAUCAGAACACAGGUGC